UAUCUGGCUGUAUUAUUCCUUCUGCUCAUUGUCACUUCCUAGUACUUAGUUGUGCUCGUAGGGUUGGUGUUUAUUUUCGUUGGUCUGAUCAAAUCUGAAUGGCCAUUAUAUGUCCCUUCUAUACAGUUGCCCUUCCAUUCUCGGUUUGCUCCCAGAGAUAAUUAAUAUACGUUUGAUAAAGAAGUGCAGGAUUUAGUGGUGGGCUAUAUGGGUG
This 214-nucleotide unclassified non-coding RNA is filed under the name Hevea brasiliensis (rubber tree). Lineage: Eukaryota; Viridiplantae; Streptophyta; Magnoliopsida; Malpighiales; Euphorbiaceae. The record is from RNAcentral.